AUGGAGGCUGUGGCCGCGGCCGCGGCCACCUCAUUCGUGGAGUGGAUGGUGCCGAAGCUCUUUGAUUUCUUACAUGCAAAUCAUGAGCUUCGGAAGAACCUAAAGAAUGACAUCAUCUACAUCAAGCAUGAGUUUGCUAUGAUUUCUGCUGUCAUCAAGGAUGAUGAUAGCCGUGGUGGCUGCCGCAGCAGCAGUGAACAAGUGCAUACGGAGUGGAUCAAUAUUGUGCGUGAAUUGGCGCACGCCAUAGAAGACUGCAUCGACCGCUUCAUGCACAGUGUGACCAUGGCUGACUCGGAAAAAGGGAGGCUCAGCCGGGCUCUCCACCGGGUGAAGACGGCGAAGACCCGCGGCAAGUUUGCUGCGGAGAUCCGGACGCUGAAGAAUAGAUCAGAAGAUGCUUCCAAGCUGAGAGAAAAAUACUGCAACAACAGCAGCAGCAGUUCCUCACCAAGGUGGUCGUUGUCGUCUGAGCAGACAGACGCGCCGACAGCGGUUCAGGAUGAUGACGAUGACAUCCAUUCAUCAGCUUCCAUCGCCGUUCCUGUGGGUAUCGACGGUCCCCGUGGCGAGCUUAUGGAUCUGAUCCAGCAGGAGCAACAGCUUAAGGUGAUUACCAUUGUGGGUUUCCAUGGCAUGGGCAAGACUCUCCUUGCCAAUCAUCUGUACAACUCCAAGGCAAUUGAGAGCCAAUAUGAAGUACGGGCUUGGGUCCAAGGGGGGAGGAGGACAGCAGCGGAUGUUCUCAAGGAGAUACUCAAGCAGCUUGGCCACCUUCCCCUGCCAACCAAUGGCAGUCUCACUCUCACCUUGCUUCACGCGAGCAUCAGAGAGUGCAUUGGCAACAAGAGGUUCUUUAUUGUAAUUGAUGACCUGCGGACAACAGCAUAUUGGCACAACAUGAAAGCAGCCUUUGUCGGUUUAAAUGGCAGAUUUCUGGUGACGACGGUCAUUCAGCCCGUAGCAAAUAUCUGUCGCAGCUCAUCUGUUAAUGAUCAUGUAUACACAAUGGCAACUCUUACCGACCAAGACUCAAGAAUAUUGUUCUUCAAGGAAGCUUUCCAAGACGAUGAACAGCCGCAGCAUGUGGAUGACCUCGGCUAUGCAGCGCUCAAGAAAUGUGAUGGUCUUCCCCUUGCUCUUGUUACCACCGCCAGGUUCUUGAAAAGCGCAGGUAAUCCAACACCCAUGAUACGGGCAAAACUAUGCGCCAACCUGGGUACACAUAUGGAGAGUGAUGAUCUAUUUGCAAGAAUGAGGCGUGUGCUUGUCCAGAGCUACACCAGCCUUGAUAGCCAGGUCGCCAGGACAUUCUUGCUCUAUUUGAGUACGUACCCAAGUGGUCGUCCUAUCAAGAAAUCAAGCUUGUUAAGGAGAUGGUUAGCAGAAGGCUUGUCCCCAGGAGACAAUACAUAUAGUGAUGUUGAUGCCGCCAUUAGCAAUUUCAAUAAGCUUGUUGAUUGGAGCAUCAUCCAGCCAAUGGAAGCCAGCGGCAACAACACAGAGGUGAAGACAUGUCAUACCCAUGGCAUGAUGCUGGAGUUCGUCCUGCGCAAGUCCAUGUCCGACAACUUCGUUACCGUGUUGUAUGAUGGGCAGUCUACCUCUCGCCUACCCAAUAAUAUCCGCCGGCUUGCUCUGCAUCAUGCAAGGCCAAGAGAAGUGCCAGGUUUAACUCUUGUUCGGUCACUGACAAUCUUGGGAGAGGCGCACCCAUCUGUCCUGGACUUCUCCAAGUAUGAACUGCUGCGAGUUUUGGAUCUGGAAAAGUGCGUUGUACCCUUGGAGGAUGGCCAUCUCAAGUUGAUAUGCAGAAAACUGUUGCUGCUGAGGUACCUAUGCCUCGGGGCUGCAGUUAUUGCCACGGUGCUUCCCAAGGAGAUCAGGAAGCUUCAAUUAUUGGAUACACUGGAUGUAAGUAAAACAAAGAUAGAGAUUCUGCCAACGCAAGUCAUGGAGCUGCCACGUCUUGUUCAUCUCUUUGGGAAGUUCAAGCUCAAGAAAGAUCUAGGAGACUGGAGAAUGAGUAAGCUACAGAAGCAAAUUGGAAACACUGGCAGGAUUUGUUGUGGACAACAGCAAGAGCCAAGAUUUUGCACAGCUCAUGAACAAUAUGAAGGCUUUGACAAAGGUGAAAAUAUGGUGCGAGUCUACCCCCGACACCAGCAGCUCAAGUCAUCUCUCAAAGGCCAUCAAGGGGAUCAUUGA
This 2208-nucleotide ribosomal RNA is filed under the name Triticum aestivum (bread wheat). RNAcentral describes it as "partial small subunit ribosomal RNA". Lineage: Eukaryota; Viridiplantae; Streptophyta; Magnoliopsida; Poales; Poaceae. The record is from RNAcentral.